AAUCGAGGGUUUCGGGGACGCCAAGCGGCACUUUCCUCUUCCCAGCGAGUGAAGGAGGGCAGUCGGCGGCUCUCGCGCCCCGGCCACUUUCCCUGCGCGAUUCCCGGAGCUCCCUGCAGGAGGUUUGUUCAGACCUGGUUUAAGCCCCUGGAUUAACGCAGCACAGACCCUCAGACCCACUGCAGCUGUGGGCAGGGUGAUGCAAGCUCAUUAAAUAUUCCCACAAGCCUCGUGCCGCUUACAGUUUAUGUGCUUCAUAAAAUCCUCUGGGAAGUCAUCUUCUUCUGAGAUCUCCUUACAGAGAUUUGCUUUAUAAAAGUUGUCUUUAACAUUUGCUGAAAUAGCAUAUUCUUUCAGAGAGGUUUUUCCUUAUCAAAAUUAUUAUAUAGGCAGGAGGCACUAUAGUUCUUGUGAACCAAUUCACUAAUUUAGGGAAUCUAAUAUUUUGAAGGGAAAAAAAUAGAGACGGAUACUCUUUGUGGUGGUUGAAUUUUUAAGUUAACAGAGAAGAUUUCCAUAUGAUCAGAGUUGAUGUGGAAUUAUGGUGACAGAAAUGUUGGACU
Molecule: small RNA, 563 nt
Filed under: Pongo abelii (Sumatran orangutan)
Lineage: Eukaryota; Metazoa; Chordata; Mammalia; Primates; Hominidae
Description: processed transcript
Source: RNAcentral